This 254-nucleotide ribosomal RNA is filed under the name uncultured bacterium. RNAcentral's name for it is "partial 16S ribosomal RNA". It matches the Rfam family "Bacterial small subunit ribosomal RNA", at positions 524 to 776 of the family's 1533-position model. The record is from RNAcentral.
UACGUAGGGGGCAAGCGUUGUCCGGAAUUAUUGGGCGUAAAGAGCUCGUAGGCGGCCAACUAAGUCGGACGUGAAAUCCCUCGGCUUAACCGGGGAACGGCGUCCGAUACUGGAUGGCUUGAGGUUGGGAGAGGGAUGCGGAAUUCCAGGUGUAGCGGUGAAAUGCGUAGAUAUCUGGAGGAACACCGGUGGCGAAGGCGGCAUCCUGGACCAAUUCUGACGCUGAGUGAGCGAAAGCCAGGGGAGCAAACGGG